CGCGGCCUAUCAGCUUGUUGGUGGGGUAACGGCCCACCAAGGCAUCGACGGGUAGCUGGUCUGAGAGGACGAUCAGCCACACUGGGACUGAGACACGGCCCAGACUCCUACGGGAGGCAGCAGUGGGGAAUCUUGCGCAAUGGGCGAAAGCCUGACGCAGCAACGCCGCGUGGGGGAUGAAGGCUCUCGGGUUGUAAACCCCUUUCAGCAGGGACGAAUCAAGACGGUACCUGCAGAAGAAGCCCCGGCUAACUACGUGCCAGCAGCCGCGGUAACACGUAGGGGGCAAGCGUUGUCCGGAUUUAUUGGGCGUAAAGAGCUCGUAGGUGGCUGAGUAAGUCGGAUGUUAAAUCCCCAGGCUCAACCUGGGACACCACCCGAUACUGCUCUGGCUAGAGUCCGGUAGGGGAGCGUGGAAUUCCUGGUGUAGCGGUGAAAUGCGCAGAUAUCAGGAGGAACACCAGCGGCGAAGGCGGCGCUCUGGGCCGGUACUGACACUGAGGAGCGAAAGCGUGGGUAGCAAGCAGGAUUAGAUACCCUGGUAGUCCACGCCGUAAACGUUGGGCACUAGGUGUGGGGUCAAUUCAACGGACUCCGUGCCGUAGCUAACGCAUUAAGUUCCCCGCC
Molecule: ribosomal RNA, 627 nt
Filed under: uncultured bacterium
Lineage: Bacteria
Description: bacterial SSU rRNA
Rfam family: Bacterial small subunit ribosomal RNA
Source: RNAcentral